CGAAAAUUUUAUAGAGAAACUAAAGGGUUCUGUUGCUCUGAUGGAAAAGUUAAACUUUAUAUGCCUGAUUCACCAACUGAAUUGUAUAAUUUAUUUACUUCUAAAGAACCUGAAUGCAUGGAGUUUAAGAAAAUUUCACGUGGAUAUAAUAACCAUUUUGCAUUCACUUCAUUUGGUGUAAAGUGCGAUACAGACCUUUUUAGAGCAUAUAAAGGUAUUUACACAUUCAGAAUUCAGGGACAAGUAUAUCAUUAUGUAAAUCAACUUCUGCCGGAAAAUAAUCAGCCUUCUUAUAUGCAAUUAUAUUUUUAUGAUACGAAUAACGAAGUUGAAAAUCGUAUGAAAAUUUCAGAAAAUUUUGUUGAAUCUACUUUGAUCAUUUUGAUUGAAAUCUUGAAAGUAAAUCCGUAUAGUAGAUUCUUUAGGUCUUUAAGUAAUAUGACCAAUUUGCACGACCAUCGAAUACAAAUAAGAUGCGAUCCUGGACUUGAUCAAAGAGUCUUCAAUACUCCUUCAGCAUCUCAAGUAGCCGCUGUAUGGGUUGAGGAUGAUGACAAUGCAAAUAUUCGUGUUCGUGAUAUUACUAUAUAUGGUCAUUCUGGUGAUUCGCAUAAGGUUCACGAUUAUUAUGGUUGUUAUGAUCCUUUGCAAUACCCUUUACUUUUCCCAUUUGGAGAACCUGGUUGGCAUGAAGGUAUUCAGAGAUACAAAAAAACAUAUUUUGAAACUCAGAAUUUACCCGAUUGCGUAGCUUUUCCUAGCACAGUAAAUUUUGCAACUGAAAUCAUUGCAAAAGAGGCUCAAGGUUUGCUAUUAAACUUUUUUAUAUGUUUACUAAUUCAUAUAAAUUAAAUGUUCCAAAUGGGUGUAAGAUGCAUUUUUUUUUAUCCUUAUGCAGUAUUCAAUGGAAUGAGGAAACGAUCACAGGUUUCUUGCCGCGAGUACUAUUCUUACAAGUUACAAAUUAGGCCUUCUAGUAAGUCUGUGUUGCUUCAUACUGGUAGACUUUUUCAACAAUAUGUUGUAGAUAUGUAUGUUAAAAUUGAAACUGCCAGAUUAGACUAUUUUCGUAGCAAUCAGAAACAAAUUCGUGCUGAACUUUAUCAAGGUAUUGUGGAUAGUGUUCAAAAUGGGGAAAUAAGAGGGUCAAAAAUUGGAAAGAAGAUUGUUCUACCACAAACUUUCACAUGUGGGCCUAGAUAUAUGCUUAAAAGAUAUUUAGAUGCAAUGGCUAUCGUCCAACGUUAUGGAAAACCAGAUAUAUUUCUAACUAUAACAUGUAAUCUAAAUUGGUCAGAAAUUAUGCAAGAACUCAAACACAAUGACGAAGUUCAAAAUCGACCAGAUUUAAUUGCACGUAUAUUUAGAGCAAAAUUGGAAGAGUUAAAGAACGAUUUAUACAAAGAAAAUAUUUUUGGUUCAGUUGUUGCUCAUAUAUACAUGAUUGAAUUUCAAAAAAGAGGGCUCCCUCAUGCCCAUUUAUUGUUGAUUUUCAAUUCUGCCCAUAAAAUUUGUUGUGCUGAACAAGUUGAUAUGAUAGUGUCAUGUGAAAUUCCCGAUAAGAAUAAAUACUUGCAUCUUCAUUCUGUAAUUGCAAAACACAAUAUGCAUGGCCCUUGUGGAAACCUUAAUCCAAAAAACGUAUGUAUGUUGGCAAGUAGUGGUUGUAAAAAUAAAUAUCCUAAGGAUUAUUGUAACAGUACUAUAUUUGGUGAUAAUUCAUAUCCCUUGUAUAGACGUCGUGAUAAUGGUAUUUCUAUUAAAGUAAGAGGCCAAAUGUUAGAUAAUCGGUGGGUUGUACCAUAUAAUCCUUAUUUAAGUGCAAAAUUUGACUGUCAUAUUAACGUUGAAGUAUGUUCUUCUAUUAAAGCAGUAAAAUAUUUGUACAAAUAUGUGUAUAAAGGACAUGAUCGUAUUAAUUGUUUCGUAGGCAGAAAUGAAACAGAUAAGGAAAUUGAUGAAAUUUUUGCUUAUCAAUCAGCUAGAUGGAUAUCUCCACCUGAAGCUAUGUGGAGAAUUUUUUCUUUUAAUUUGUCAGAAAUUUAUCCUACUGUUUACGCUUUACAACUUCAUAUUAAAGAUC
RNAcentral lists this long non-coding RNA (2083 nucleotides) under Olea europaea subsp. europaea. Lineage: Eukaryota; Viridiplantae; Streptophyta; Magnoliopsida; Lamiales; Oleaceae. The record is from RNAcentral.